Maylandia zebra (zebra mbuna) is the source of this 7502-nucleotide RNA transcript. It is a transcript of the gene named ETS transcription factor ELK1, with no coding region annotated. NCBI's taxonomy places the organism in Eukaryota, Metazoa, Chordata, Actinopteri, Cichliformes, Cichlidae. The record is from RefSeq and is a predicted model, not a curated record.
GAAUGGAAGCGUUGAGGAGGCGUGUGGUUCCAAACAGGAAGAAACUGGGAAAACACGCAUUAAAUACGAUAUCCUCGGACACAGCCUACUAACAGCCUGGGGCAGAUGGUACAAACUACUUUUUCUCCAUGCCGGAGGCCUGUGGACCGUUCCUGGUGUACUCCUUUUAGAUCUGUCCCGCAGUCGGAGGGGCUGUUUGGGGGGGCUGACGCACCAGCAGAAGCGCAGGAAGGCGGGGGGCUGUCAUAGCAGCAGGCUAGGCUAGGCUAGGCUAGGCUAGGCUAAGCCUGGCUAAGCUAACCUAAGCGCUGCAGCCCGGAGAAACCUUGAACUUGUGUAAACUUUGUGGAGUACAACACCGGAAGUAGCAUCACCGGAGUGGUUAAACGACAACCACGGACUCCACAGAUGAGACAAAUAUACACAGACGUCUAUUAUUUUUAUAGUUUUUUUUUUCCUAAAAAGUGUUAGCCUGGCAGCGGACUUAUAGCCAGUUAGCUGUUGAACACAUCCAGGCUCUGGCAGAGGGACGUGAGCGGGAGAAAAUCGCCUCAGUUUGCCCCAUGCACAUCCGCAGAAUGGAUCUAAUUUGCGUUGUUAACCAGUGAAAAGCUAUUGGACGCUAACUAACACAGUGGAUGUUAAUUAAUCACUGAGGUAUCAGCGGAUGAAGAUUGUUUUUUGACACAUAAGAGGGACUUUUUUUCUGUUUUGUCAUAUCGGUUUUUGUGAUAACUUCUGCUUUCCGUUAGUGUGGUUAUCAUGGAGGUAGGGGAGCCUGGCAGCGGCAGCUCGGAGCGGUUACAUAACGCCAGCAGGCCGGUAGAGAAGCUGCUGAACGUCGCCUCCUCUUCAGCCUCCUCAGCCUGGCUCUGACAGCUGUAAACCCCCUCCAGCGCAUACACACACACACACACUAACAGACUCACAGACGCACAAACAAACACAGACAGACUGACAGCAGGACAGCAGCAUGGAGGUGGUGUGAGGCAUCUGGGAGAUAGAAAACAGCAACGAGAAGGAUCGUUUUGCUGAAGAUGGAGUCCAACCCACUGAUUAACGCGAUGGACCCGUCCAUCACGCUGUGGCAGUUCCUGCUUCAUCUGUUGGAGGACCAGCGGCAGCGUCACCUGAUCUCCUGGACAAGUGAGGACGGCGAGUUCAAGCUGCUAGACGCCGAGGAGGUGGCCCGCCUGUGGGGGCUCCGCAAGAACAAGCACAACAUGAACUACGACAAACUGAGCCGGGCACUGAGAUACUACUACGACAAGAAUAUCAUAAAGAAGGUGAGCGGCCAGAAGUUUGUCUAUAAGUUUGUAAGUCAGCCUGACCCCUCCCUCCCCGAUGGGAUACGCAGUAUAGAGGAGGGCCAGAGGAGGGACGUCAGCGACUCAAACAACCAAUCAAAAAGCCUUGGGGGCGUGGCACCAACUUGUCCGACAAAGGGCUUGCCCCAGCGCUCGUCACCCAGCAGCUCCCAGAAGAGCUCCAGAAACGACUACAUGAAGUCCGGCCUCUACUCCACCUUCACCAUCCAAUCCCUGCAGGCCUCACCCAAUCCACGGCCAAUCAAAUCAGAGCUCCUCCUGCAACAAGAGCCUGUCCCCAAAGUUGAUCGCACACCGAGAGAGGUGUGUGUGUUACCGGAGUCUAAAUCCUCUCCGUCCGUGGGGAGCGCUGCGGACUCUGUUCUCCAGGUCAUCGUCACUCAGACGUCUCCCUGUCCGACCCCGGCUCUCAGCCCACAGAUACCAGCCAACUCCAAUGGCCAAUCACAGAAUCCUCCUGCUGCUCCGCUGAGCGACCCUCCCCAGAUUUAUCUCACCAACAUGGGGGACCCGUCCACCCUCAUCACUCUCGGAGGGGGCACGGUGAGCCCCGUCCCCCCUCCUCAUGUCUCAAUGGGCACACAGGGCCCACAGCAGGAGGAUUGUGGGGGCCUUACCAACCCCACCAACUUCCCCUCGCACCACCCGCAUGCUGCUCCUCAUCAGUCUCACCCUGCCCCUGUGUUCGUUAUUAUCAACCCACCUCCCAAUCAGCAGCAGCAACAGGUGCCGAUGACGACUGCUGCUCCUCCUCCCUCUGUCGCUCUUCCUCCCACCGCCCGUCCUCCACCCAUCGUCAUCAAGGAGGAGAAUCUGCCGUCAGAGCAGGAGCUGCUGGAGAUGGUGACACUGGAUGGGAAACGGGUGGAGGAGGUUCCUCAGCUGAUCUGUGACUCGGGAGAGCCAGAGCCUCCCCCCACCAUUGUGGAAAGCCCGCCCCCGCCCUGCAUUGAUGCCGGGGUUGGAGUUCAGCAGCCAGCAGAGGAGGAGAGGACAGAGGGUGAGGGCCAGGACACGCUAACAGAUCCAGUCAUCCCCCCGGUGACGACGUCCUUGCCGGUGACCUCUCCAGCAGCUUCAUCCUCGGACGCCGUUCCUCCGAAACAAAAGAAGCCACGAGGCCUGGAGCUACCCUCCUCUCCCUCCCUGCCCCCCGGCCUCUCCCUCGAUAAGGUGAAUGCAGCAGUUAACAGUUUAUUGGCUCCUGGAUCAGCGACCAACACGCUCACCCCGACUGUCAUCACCUCCCACGCCCUGACUCCGGUCCUGUUGACGCCCAGCCCUCUUCCCUCCACCAUCCACUUCUGGAGCACGCUCAGUCCCAUCGCUCCUCGAUCGCCAGCUAAACUUUCCUUCCAGUUUCCCUCUAACGGCAGUAAUCAGAUCCACAUCCCGGCUCUGAGCGUCGACGGCCUCUCCACCCCCGUGGUCCUCUCCCCGGGGCCCCAGAAGCCCUGAGCUCCCCGCCCGCCUGAAGCAGCUCUUCACCGGGCACAACCUCGCCCAAUGAUCUCCUCAACUCCUGGAGGGUCGGAGGAAAAGCCGGAUCUGCACUGACUCUGAAAUGCAUCACUAAAAACCCGACGCCAUGAGAAGUUUAGGCUGCAUCGGCUGACUCUUUUUGGGUGGGAAUCUGCGCUUUGUCCUCCUUCCACCUUCCUGUUUCUUUCAUAGCUUUGUACUCAAACACUAUGACAGCGGGGUUUCGAGAGAACCAGAUGCUUCUCUCGACUUGAACCCGACACGAGGACAUAAACGGCAACUAAAGGCCACGAGGAGACGGAGGGAUGUUUUUCUCUUUUUCUACUGGUGUUUUUUAAACCUGUCGUUGGAUUUCUUUCUAUAAUAUUGUGAGGUCUUUACCUUGCGAUGCAAAAGUGCUCUGACGUGACUGUUGUCAAAUAAAACAGCUUAACCUUGAAGAUGGCUUUUAUAGCCGGUCUGCUUACUGAAAACUGACAGCAAACAAAUGUCUGUUUUCAAACGGUUUCUUCAGUGUGUGACGGAGGGGAACCGGAGAAAAGCUGGAGCCGUCUCUUAUUUGAGUUUUUACUAAACAGAAGAUUUGACUUGACGUUUUCUGGGAGUAACUGAUCGCGGACUGGAAGGAGGGAACGUUCACAUGUUUGUGUGUAAAAGGAUCUGCAGUUCCUCAUAAUCUCACAUUUUUUCUGAUGGGAUCUUUUGUUUUUUAAAUUCGAGGUUAUUUAUUUCUGUCUUGUUUUCAAUGCACCUUUCUCUGCAGAUUCCUUAAAGGUUCUUGACUGUUUUUAAAACAGUCUCAUCUUUUUUUCCCUCAUUUUUUAAGCUACCAGGCGACUCUCUCCCAGUUGGAAUUUAAUUUCAGCACCAACACUGACAUUUUAUAAACUCACCUUCUGCUGGAUUUCGUCAGAAACGACUUUCAGAGCCAUUUAAGGGUUGUUGCUUUGCUCUUACUGGCCGAUUUUAAAGGUCACGCCUUUCUCUGGUUCUGCAUGGCCUGUUUUUUUUGUUUUUGGUUGUUUAUUGUUUGUUUUGUUUCGAGUGGACUCCUCAGCAGCAUUUCGAACUGACCAAUCACAAAGGAUGAAGAUGACGGUGGACCUGAGGUUUUUCAAAGCCAAGUUCUUUCUCUAUAAAAGUGUCUAAAUGUGACAGAUUGUAUAUUUUCUCACAGAGUUUAAUGUCCAAACUGAACUGAAGUGUCUGUCAGACUUGAUUUAAAGGUUUUACCGAGGACAGAGUCACAUUCCUUUGGUUUUUAAAACAGUGAUAGAUGAGUUUGCGUUACUUAUUAACAACUGCUUAUUGUUUGAAUCUCAGCAGUCAUUCCAGAGAUUUUAUUUGAGCAGCUCUGAAAAAUAAAUGUUUUGUUCCAAAAGCCUUGGAACAAAUCUGCAGUCAUGUUGCCACAAGUUGAAAGAGUCGCAUUUAUUCUCCUUUCACUGAGAGUGUAGGAUAGCCUUUAAUAUAUUGAAAGCUUUUUCCGUGCAAAAACCAACAACAAAGGACCGAGUUUAAUGACACUCUGUCAUACUGGGGCUUAUGAUUGAAACAUUUCAAAUAAUUUGAUCAAUUUGUGUUUAAUAAAGCACCAAAAACCAUAAAAAACAUAAAUUCUCCAACAUCCAAGUCAAAGUCUACGUCCUCAUUUUGUACAAACAUCAGCACAACAUUUCAAAAUUAAAAAGGCAUUAGAAAAGCAUCAGAUGGUCUUUAGUGUCAACCUUGGAACAAGAUGACUAAGAAAAUGUUUUUUUUCCUUUAUGGCUUAAACGCGUAUUUAAUUGGAUCUCUGAAGACAUCCUUGAUGGCAGGGGCUGAUUUAUCUGUUUAUCUGUGUGUGAAAAAAAUUUAGUUCUCUGAAAUUUAAAUAAAAACUAAACUUUCAGAUAAAAUACAAAUACACAGGAACUGGCUCUAACUUUAGUCUUUGUCAGUUUGGUAAAAUUUGCUCUCAGAGUUGAACUUAAACUCCUCGAGGUCAUAAAUAAUCUGACCACAUCAAAUGUCAACGACCUCGUAGUACCAUGUAAUCCCAUCACAACACCUUACUCUCAGACUGCUGGCUUACUUCUGUUUACUGAGUUUCUAAAAUUUAGAGUGAGAGGCACAGCCUUCGGUGUUCAGGCUAAUCUCCACUUUCAGACUCUCUCAGCUUUGCUGCUGUAGGCUCAGCCUGCUGGAGGACUUCCCAUGAUGCACUGAGAGUUCCUUCUCCUCUCCCACCUCUUCACUCCCUGCUGCAGAUCGCAACGUUUUCUUUCUUGAUUCUCGGGUGACGUAUACGUCUGCCCCUCCCUCAGCCUGGUGCUUCUGGAGAUCUCUUCAUGUUUAAAAAGAAAAAGAAGUUCUUUCUGCCCUCUGUGUUGCACACAGGGGAUCAGCUGAUUGUUGGGGUUUUCUCUUCAACCCUGUAGACUCUUUUUGAUUUCAUUCCAAUUAAAUUAAAUAAAAUAAAUUUGAAUGAAAAAGGAAGAAAUGAAACCUUUAAAAACUAACAACUAACACUAAACACUUUCAUUGAUUUAAAAACUAAACUCAAACAAACUAAAAUUGAACUGAAACCUGAUUAACGAUUAAACAUAACUGUGUUAAAUGUUGUCCCGUCAGUUCUUACAGUUGGAUUUGAGAUUAUUCAAAGAUGAGCAUCCUCUAAUCUUCAGUGCACCGCAGUGAUUUUUAUCCACUUAAGAACUUUAAAAGAUCAAAACUCUGCAGAACAAAGUAUCAGAUUAUCAGUUUUAAACAUUUUUUAAAUCCUUGCUGGUAAAGUUUGAUAAUUUUAGGUUGUGAGACAUGCGGUCGUAUGUUUUGUUCUCUCAGCAUCGGCUAUGAAGCAUAUGAGUUUUACUGUACAUGAUUUACAAACAACUAGGAGGCUUCAUGCAUUAGAACAAUGGUUAGUUGGAUUUUGUGCAGUCUUUAGUUUUGUUUACGGACCUUUUCCACUAAUACCUGCUCGGCUCGGUUUUCAGGGUUUCCCAUUAGGUGGUAGUACCUGGUACCUGCUCCAUUGGGGUUCUGAAUGGUCCUAAAAUGUGACUGCAUGUCAACAGACAGCAUGCAGCAGAUGGGCCAGUCAGUGGCGUCCCUCGAUGUGUCAUGAGAGCAAGUCCUUUACAAAAUUCCAAACCGCCAUUUUUGAAAUCCGGCAGUGAGGGAAAGUGGCUCCACACAAACCAACACCGUGAUCCGGUGAUGAGGUGCAGACACUUGGCAUCGGUUUGGCAGCAGGUAUACCAGCGCUUCGAUAUCCUCCACUGUUGUGUUGUGGCGCAUACGAAUGACAUCACAGGAAUUUUGGCGGUGUUGCCACAGCAACCCCAAGGACACUGAUGCGGUUGUAUUAUAAUAGAAAACAACUGAAACAGAGUCGAGCCGAGCAGAUCAGACUGGAUACUUGGUUCUCUCCGAUGACCUGUAGUUUCGCUUGAUUUACACGAACAUGUGAUUUUUAAAGCGUGUUUGACGGGAACUUGUGGCAACAUCGAAAACCUGCAGAGACAAAAAAAAAAGUUUUGUUUUGUUUGUUUGUUUGUUUCCCCCAAAAUUGUAGACAGACACUGACUCAUGUUCCUCUAAAAAAAAAAAAAAAAAACAAAAAAAAAACCCAGACUGUUGAUGUUGUUGUUGUUGUUCGUGUUAUUUCUAAUGCUAGCUGUGGUUGCCACGGUAACCUGACCCGACUGUUGCCGCCCUGCAGGUUGCUGUUGUCAUUGCUGUUGUUAUCGUUGUUGCUGCUGGAGCUGUUAACGUGUUUCUAUGCUUCUGUGUGUGACGCCAAGGCUGCAGACACACACACACACACGCACAAUGCAAUCUUUGUGAGGAUUCAUUGGAGGGGUCGGUCCGUCCAUGCUAACUCAAGCUUUGCUCAGUUACUCGCUGUGAUGUUGCUACUGCUGGCACAUCUUGCGCUCUGGCUCGUUGCGCACUUACACGUCUUUAUCACAUAAAUAAGAUCAUCUCCCACGUUUGCAUCAAGGGUGAGGAGGAAGCUCGGGCAUAGAUACCCAGAAGGUGCAGAACAUGCUCCAAGAAAACAGAAGUUAACGAAAACUUGUGUUCAUAUUUGAAUUACCCCUUUCUCCAAAUUCAUAACAUUAUGUUUCGAUAUUUCAGUGACAUUUCUCUUAAGAUUACAGUUUAGGGUGCACUGCUGUGCCGACCACGCCACAAAUUACUGCAGCAUCACUGCUGUGCUUUUUACCAGCAGCAUGGUGUCAUUACCAAAUCUGUAACUACCUGUUUCUACUUGAAAAGUAUGAUGGGGGAAAGAAAAUACUGCACUAACUGAGCUAAGAGAUUUUUGGUGGCAAAGGUGGGCCCACUGGUGGUAGUCUCUAUGGGAAGGGCUGCCAAAAGAAAUGCACAGUCAUCCAUAUUUCUUCUGUACAAUACUAUGCUUUGGGUUGCAGACCGGUUCAGAAAAAGGCAAGAAAGCGGAAGUUGCUUUGCUCCAACAGUGUUUAAAGUUCAACAGACAAGUUGGAGAAAUUUAGGCAGGCGUUGAAGCGCAGCAGGAGCUGCACUUUUCUGCACUUCCACUAAUGGCCAAAGUGAGUCAGUCACUAUUGACUCAUGUUCAAAUGUCCAACUUAGGUAAAAUGGUCUUUGCACCUAGAGCAGGGCGAUAUGGCCAAAAAUAUUUAUCACGAUAUAUAUUUGAAAAUUUGCGAUAACGAUAUA